UACGAAGGGGGCUAGCGUUGCUCGGAAUGACUGGGCGUAAAGGGCGCGUAGGCGGUUUGGACAGUCAGAUGUGAAAUUCCUGGGCUCAACCUGGGGGCUGCAUUUGAUACGUUUCGGACUAGAGUGGGGAAGAGGGUCGUGGAAUUCCCAGUGUAGAGGUGAAAUUCGUAGAUAUUGGGAAGAACACCGGUGGCGAAGGCGGCGACCUGGUCCUUGACUGACGCUGGAGGCGCGAAAGCGUGGGGAGCAAACAGG
Molecule: ribosomal RNA, 255 nt
Filed under: uncultured bacterium
Lineage: Bacteria
Description: partial 16S ribosomal RNA
Rfam family: Bacterial small subunit ribosomal RNA
Source: RNAcentral